GGAACUGUGCCUGAAAUUAAGGACCACUUUGAUAGAGUGUAUUAUGGAGGUUAAAGUCCUCCCAGAUCCU
RNAcentral lists this transfer RNA (70 nucleotides) under Phycodurus eques (leafy seadragon). RNAcentral's name for it is "tRNA-Ile". It matches the Rfam family "tRNA". Rfam says of the family: Transfer RNA (tRNA) molecules are approximately 80 nucleotides in length. Their secondary structure includes four short double-helical elements and three loops (D, anti-codon, and T loops). Further hydrogen bonds mediate the characteristic L-shaped molecular structure. tRNAs have two regions of fundamental functional importance: the anti-codon, which is responsible for specific mRNA codon recognition, and the 3' end, to which the tRNAs corresponding amino acid is attached (by aminoacyl-tRNA synthetases). tRNAs cope with the degeneracy of the genetic code in two manners: having more than one tRNA (with a specific anti-codon) for a particular amino acid; and 'wobble' base-pairing, i.e. permitting non-standard base-pairing at the 3rd anti-codon position. Lineage: Eukaryota; Metazoa; Chordata; Actinopteri; Syngnathiformes; Syngnathidae. The record is from RNAcentral.